Arachis duranensis is the source of this 1189-nucleotide long non-coding RNA. RefSeq lists it as uncharacterized. The record is from RefSeq and is a predicted model, not a curated record. The transcript has 3 exons. NCBI's taxonomy places the organism in Eukaryota, Viridiplantae, Streptophyta, Magnoliopsida, Fabales, Fabaceae.
CCUCCUUCUUCUGAAAACAAAUACUUAGUAAAAUUUUUGUUCAUUCCCUCCACAAGCAGGUUCAUCCCCUUUCAGAAACCCUCAUCCCCACAAGCACCGUCGUCGAAGUGGAAACCCUGCCUCCAAAGCUCACCAUCGUUGCCCCCACUCACUCUCUUCACUCUCGCCGUUGACACUCUCGUCGUUGACACUCUCGCUCUUGUCAUCGACCCUCUCACUCUCGCCAUUGACCCUCUCCCACUCACCACUCUCCACAUUGCUGCACUACUGACCGUCGCUGCGCCGCCCUACCAUCGUCGCUGCGCCGCCCUCACCACCGUCAUCACACCCAAAUCAGAGAAAAGUGUUUGCCAUCACCACUCACCACUCACGGCGUCACCACUCACCACUCCAGGAAGACUCUGCGCUCAUUCAUCUUCCCCACUCAUCUUCAUCGUCGCUUCUCUUCGCUGCGGGUCACAUCUCGAAGACUCUGCGCUCAACUGAAAGCUUUCUUCAUUCGCGAGCGCAGGAGAACCCGUGAAUUUAGGGGUUUUAUUCCAUUAACACAGGUGUGUUUGGCCAUGAUUAGUUGCUGCGCAGGAAUACCAGGAUGAGUUGCUUAUUCUAUUUGUUGCUUAUUAUUAGUUUUCUUUUUCUUUCAAUUCUACUAAGUACCAGCAGGUUUGGCAAUUGAGACUAUAACCGAUGACAGGGAUACAACAUAUGAAGAGGAUAUCAAAUCUGCUGGGACCAAGAAAAGUGAUUCAAAAAGGUUAAAAUGACGUUAGAACUUUUGUGAAAAAAUGAGGUUCGACUCUGUUCCUAUAUUAAUGAUAUUCAAGGUCAGGGAUAUGGAAAGAAAGCAGGUCACUCAAUGUUCUUUCUUGAGAAUAUUUUUGUUCCACCAAUCAAAUUCCGCCCUCCCACUAAAGGAGGUGAUAUGGUAAGUGUGAAUAAUAAAUAAAGACUGUUAACGAGUUGUGCUAUUUCUCUAUCUUCUUUGUUUGUACUCCAUGUUCUUGCUUCUACUGUGGAGUGUGGAAUAUUUCCAAAGUUUGUUAAUGCAAGGUAUAGGUUUAGGGAAGUACUCUGAAUUUGAAAUUGUUGUGGGAUAUAAAUGUAGGAAAAAUGUACUUAUGAAAUUGUUAGCAGAUAUAUAUAGAUUGGAAAAUGAAGGAUUUUUGUUAGAAAAUUCUAUCAUGACUCA